GGAAUCAUGGCUCACAGGGUAGAGCACCUGCCUAACAAGUGCAAAUAGCUGGGUUCAAAUCCCAGUACUUUCC
RNAcentral lists this transfer RNA (73 nucleotides) under Dipodomys ordii (Ord's kangaroo rat). It matches the Rfam family "tRNA". Rfam says of the family: Transfer RNA (tRNA) molecules are approximately 80 nucleotides in length. Their secondary structure includes four short double-helical elements and three loops (D, anti-codon, and T loops). Further hydrogen bonds mediate the characteristic L-shaped molecular structure. tRNAs have two regions of fundamental functional importance: the anti-codon, which is responsible for specific mRNA codon recognition, and the 3' end, to which the tRNAs corresponding amino acid is attached (by aminoacyl-tRNA synthetases). tRNAs cope with the degeneracy of the genetic code in two manners: having more than one tRNA (with a specific anti-codon) for a particular amino acid; and 'wobble' base-pairing, i.e. permitting non-standard base-pairing at the 3rd anti-codon position. The record is from Rfam by way of RNAcentral. Lineage: Eukaryota; Metazoa; Chordata; Mammalia; Rodentia; Heteromyidae.